Molecule: ribosomal RNA, 394 nt
Filed under: uncultured bacterium
Lineage: Bacteria
Description: bacterial SSU rRNA
Rfam family: Bacterial small subunit ribosomal RNA
Source: RNAcentral
GACGAACGCUGGCGGCGUGCUUAACACAUGCAAGUCGAGCGAGAACCACGGGUGGGGUAACCCACCUGUGAGGACAGCGGCGAACGGGUGCGUAACACGUGGGCAACCUGCCCCAGACUCUGGGAUAACCCCGGGAAACCGGAGCUAAUACCGGAUACUCUCGGCCGGCCACAUGGUCGGCUGAGGAAAGGUCCGCCGGUCUGGGAUGGCCCGCGGCCUAUCAGCUUGUUGGUGGGGUAACGGCCUACCAAGGCGACGACGGGUAGCUGGUCUGAGAGGACGGCCAGCCACACUGGAACUGAGACACGGUCCAGACUCCUACGGGAGGCAGCAGUGGGGAAUCUUGCGCAAUGGGCGAAAGCCUGACGCAGCGACGCCGCGUGGGGAGUGAAGG